GCCGUAUGGUGUCCCGUUUUGGGAAGCUGUCAAAAAUCAUAAAAUCACGUGAGUAUAAUAUAUGAUUAAUCCAUUCUUUUCUUCCGAUCUAUUUUAUUUUUUGUUUAUUUAUUUUGAGAGAGAGAGAGACAGAAAGAAAGCACGGGGGGGGGGGAGGGGCAGAGAGAAGGAGAGACAGAAUCCCCAGCAGGCUCCACACCAUCAGCCCAGAGCCUGAUGUGGGGCUCGAACUCACGCACUGUGAGAUCACGACCUGAGCUGAGAUCAAGAAUCAGGUGCUGAACUGACAGAGCCACCUAGGCGCCCCUCUUCUAAUCUGUGUUAAACGAGCAAAAUAAACAGCUAUGUCUGUUUGUUUGGGGGGAAAACCCAGUUAUAGUUGAUAGCUUACUGGAUUUGGCUUCUAGUUAUGUUCAUGUAACAUAGCUCUCGCGGCUGUGGCUGAAUUACAUGAGGAGACUCCUACCCCACAAAUCUUUUAUCUAAUAGUCUAUUGGUGAUCUUUUGUAAUAAUACUGUCCUGUCAAUGAUAUUGUAUUUAGGGAAGAGUUUAAAAGGAAGGUGCUAAGCAGCUUGCAAUAAUAUUAGCAUCUUGUGUUUAUCAGGCGAUCAUUCACUGAUUUUUAACAGAUUAGAACACUAGACUAGAGGUUUGGGGGAAAAUAUCCUCUUUGUACUGAACCUAACUUGUUUUAAAUUGUCUCCAGGAAGAGAGAAGCUUAAAGUCAGACUUUUUUUUUUUUUCCAUCUCUCACAGUCCAUUUAAUUUUGAAGCACUUCCCAAGGAAUUUAUAUUAGCUGAUUAUUUUUUAAUAUGAAAAAACUAAACAUAACAUCUAAAAUGUUAGACUUACAUCACAUUGACCCAAAUUGUCCCUUUGCACUUGGCCAUUUCUCAGUGUAAGAAGAAGCUGUCCUUGGAGUGAGAACAAGGGGACGUUCUGGCUCAGAAACCGUAGAAUCACAGAUACUCCUUUUCUAAAGAUUUUGUUCCUUUUUCUCUUGUCUAGCAAUACCAAUGCUGGACAGGGGCCUUUCAACCCAUCCAAGUUUAUGUUUGAAUGUUAUUGAAUCCUGCAGAAGAUGCACAUUUUGGUGUUUUUCUUCUUGAUUAUAGAUGGUUUUGUCUUAACCGUAGAAACAGUCAAAUGUUUUAAAGUGAGACACUUUCUGGAUUACCCUCUUAGUUCUAGAGCGUUUACUUUUGUCUAUUCAUGAUAUAAAUGUGACCAUGCACUUUCCCUUUUUUACUAAUUUAUGGCUGAGUGUGCAGUAAAACAUGACAAUGGAAAAAUUCCAUUUCUUAUAGGUCAUUUAUUAGUAUGCCACUUUAUGGCUUGGAGACAUCUGGGCACAGAUAUAUAUCCAAUAAACUUUGUGGGUUACUAUAAAACAUCCAUGUUGAUAAGAGCCGAGAUUCAUUCACGAAGAGUCCCACAGCACAGUGGACGUCUCCUCUGAGCUUUCAACUGUAGCAGCCAUUUGGAAAAUUGCACGGGAAAAGAUUUCUUUACAACGUCCAUUUUUUCCUUUCUGUAGUUAGGGAUACUCCUCCCCCUUCUUAGAUUUUACCCUAAAAGAAAAAAAAAAAGUAUAUGUGCUAUAUACUGCAGAUAUGCAGACCAUGAAGAAUGAGCAGGUUUUUUUUUUUAAUGUUUAUUUUUGGGGUGGUGGGGCAGAGAGAGAGAGAGAGGGAGGGAGUCUCAAGUAAGCUCUGCGUGUCAGCACAGAACCCCAUGUGGGGCUCGAACUCAGGAACUGUGAGAUCAUGACCUGUGCCGAAAUCAGGAGUCGGAUGCUUAUCUGACGGAGCCACCCAGGUGCCCCGUGAACAGACUGGUUUUAACUGAUCAUUUUCUUGUUUCAGUGUCAGGGCCAUGGCUUAACUGCCUUCAUAGCACGUAUAGUUGUUUAUAUUUAAAUUGAACCACUUUUCAUUUACCUAAUUCUCCCUUAACAAACAUUUGAUGUGAUUGGUGAUCAUUGUAUUUCUUGUUCUAGUCCACUUCUGGAACUUACGACUAUCAGAAACUUUUCAGUGUCCCGUACGUACGUUAAUUGAAUAUGUGGAUGUUUGCAAGACAAUGCUUUUCGGGUUUCUUUUGAACAUGAACCUGACUUUAUCUUCAAAUUUUAACAUUUCGUUUCCCCCCCAAGCAAAUGCUGUAUUUCCCAUCAGCUGGCCAGUAGGGUGUGCUCUAGUCCCUUGCCAGAUAAAUAAAUAAAUUAAUAAAUAAAUUGAUUAAAAAGAAAUUAAUUAAAAAUAUGAAUGUCACCUCUUCACCAAGAGAUUACAGAAAUAUACCUCACUCUUUCGUUGCCACCCACAGAGAUGAAGUAUUCUGCCCACAGACACAGUGAAUCGUUCAGCAAACACAGUACCUGUGGGGAGCAAAACUGUCGCAUUGAAAAAAGAAACUUUGGAGAGGUGGACCCCUUAGGAGUUAGUUCUGAAACAACUUGCUAUAAUUUUACCAAAUGGAUCCCUUGGUCACAGAUAGUUUCUUUUAUGCUGUGUAAAAUGAGAAUAAAAAAAUCUGGUGCAGUGAUGAAGAACGCAGACCCUGGGGUUUACAUCCUGACUGUCUCACCAGUGACUCAAGUACUCACUUGGCCUUUUGUAAGAUGGUGAUAAUAGUGGUUCCUACUCUGCAGGGUUCCUGGCCAGAUAAAUGAGAUCGUAUUUGGGAAGUGCUUAGAACGUGGUCUGGCCCCAGUCGGGGUUCAGUAACAGUAACUGUCCUUUUUUUUUUUUUAAAUCAUUGCUAUUCUCACUGUUAUUGCUGUAAAUUCGUUGAGGGAUUUUCUGACACCUUUCUUUGCAAGAUUCCCAAAUUCUCUAUCGCUUAUUAGCAUACAUGAUUUGAUUUGUCUGGGAGGUGCUUUCAUUUGUUAAAUUUCAGGAGCAUAAACGAUUUCUAAGAUAAACUGUCUCACUUUAACUGUAGUAUUUCCACUUAAGAGGCUAUAAAGCCUUAAGCCAAAGACGAGGGUCUGCCAUAGGGAAAUAUCAAGCACCAGCAAUCCUUGGGGAGAUACCCGACGGAUGGGAGACUCUCAGCAUCUCUGAAGGGAAGAUAACAAGCGGCCACAAAUCUAUGAGCACCUUCCUGUAAACUCAUAUUCAGAAACACCCACAGGCAUUUGUCCUUUUAAGAAAUAGGCUUAGUUUGUACAUAAAGUACCUGCAGAACUUUUAAAUACAGGCAACAUUACCAUUUUCUCUGCAAGGCAAGGGCAAGGAGAUAUUACUCAGUGACUAGGUACAGUAGCAUUGUAAGAAGUCAAUGAAUCCCAACACUUCUUGGGGCUACACCUUUAUUCAUUCAUACAUGUAUUCAUUCAUUAAUAAAUAUCUAUUGAACUCCUACUAUGUGCCAGUCCAUACCAGGUUCGGGGUAGUGAGCAAGAGAAACAUUCAGAGAACGUUCAGUGGUAGGAUUAUAGACAAACAUAUGGGAAACUUAAUUUAUAUAAAGUGCAAAAAAGUCUUCAUAACAAGACUAGAUUCUGUCUUCUUAAAUCUUUGAGAAUCAAAGACUCUUUGAACCAGUAUUUUUUUUAAAGUUUAUUUAUUUUGAGAGAGAGAGAAAACAAGGGGGGAGGAGCAGAGAGAGAGGGAGGCAGAAAUCUGAAGCGAGCACUGUGCUGACCGCAGAGGGCCCAAUGUGGGGCUCAAACUCAGGAACAAUGAGACCAUAACCUGAGCUGAAGUUGGAGGCACUUAACCAACUGAAGCACCCAGGCGCCCCUGAGCCAGUAUUUUCACUAGUGACACAUUGAGGAAAUAAUCAUAAAUAGAGAAAGCUUUCUGCUCAAAGUUGCUCAAUGCAGUGUUGUUCAUAAUAGUGAAAACCUGGCCUGUUAGUAGGACAGUUGGCAUGUAAAAUAUCGAAUAUCUAUUCAGCUAUUAAAAUCCUUAUGAAGAUUUUGUAAUUAGGAAUAAUAACUAAUAAUAGCUAACACUUUUAUAGCAUUUGCUAGGAACUGGGCUCCGUUCUAGGGCUUUACCUAUAAGAGUUAAUUAAACGUUCACACAAUCCUGUGAAGUCCAUGUUGUUACUAUGCCUGGUUUAUGAACAAGGUGAAGUAAUACGCCCAAGGUUACAAAGCUGGUAACUGUGGGUUUAAACCGAGGCGGUUGCUUUCAACCACUGCAAAUUCUUCCAUUAUAAUGCUUGGUGUAAAAAGUAGAAUGUGAAAUCGAAUAUGUAGAAUAUCUAUCCUCAUGUUAUCAGCACCUUUUUACUGUGCUAGACAGAAAAAAAUCCAACUCGGGCUCCUGGGUGGCUCAGUCGGUUAAACGUUGGACUUCGGCACAGGUCAUGAUCUCAUGAUUUGUGAGUUCAAGCCCCGCAUUGGGCUGUGUGCUGACAGCUCAGAGCCUGGAGCCUGCUUCAGAUUCUGUUUCCCUCUCUCUCUGCCCCUCCCCCGCUCUCUCAGUCUCUCUCUCUCUCUCUCUCUCUCUCUCUCUCAAAAAGAAACAUUGAAAAAAGAAAGAAAGAAAAAUCCAACUCAAGUUCAUUAAAAUAAAAAGGAAUUCACUGCUUCAGUUCUGGACAAGUCUCAGUGGCUGCAUGCACUGCUUUAUUUAGGUGCUCAAAUAACGUCACCCACGUCUGGGCUUUCCCUAACUUUUGGUUUUGUCCUAUUUUGUAGUGACUUCAUCUUGAGGUUCUUCGGUGGCAUGAUGGCUGCCCGCAGCUCUGAGGUAAGAUGGCUGCCAGCAAACCCUGGGCCAUUUAAUUAAAAAAAAAAAAAGCUUAUUUAAUGGUUUGAACAAAAACCAAAACCUGGGCCUGCUUCUCACUAGUUCAAAUGGAGAGACAGGGAACGAAUGCUCUGAUUGGCCAAGCCUGGGUGCAAGGCCACCCUUGGAACCAUGGGUAGAAUUAGCUCCACCUGAAGCACAUCAACUAAAUGCAGAGAAGGGGUGGUGAUCUCCUACAGUCAAAUUGGACAAUGGACUAGGAGAAAAGGGAAAUGGAUGUUUUUGGUAUACAUCAAGUAUCCACAACAAUUUCAUUAUCUAUAGGAUAAGCAUUUGACCCCGUAACUUGCACCUUGAAGCUUUCUGUUCUUUGACCUUGAUGACACUACGCUAUCAUACCUUUUUGGUGUCUCUUCUGAGUCCUCCUUAGUCUUCUAGUCUUCUUUUUCUAGGAUGCUUAGCUGUAGGCAUCCUCUGGAGCUAUUUUUAUCUGUUUCUAAGCCAUCACAUUCAAUUCCUAAACUUUUAUUAUCACCUCUAUAUGAAUUGUGCCCAAAUCUAAUUAUAGCCAUAUCUUCUUUCCUGACUUUUAUUCCAUGCUUUCAGUUUCUUACCAGUACUCCCCCACCCCCCUUGGAUAUUUGUUGCAGAUUGGCUUCCUUGGGCAACAGGCUUUGGGAUGAAGGAUAAUUUAUUAGAGUAUACUCUUGGAAUCUAUUGAAGGGAAGAGGAAGGAGCAGAUUUGGGCAGAAAGAGAAGCUGAGCUGUGGUACAGAUCCAAGAUAGGCCUUAGCUGAUCCUAUGGAAAGAUUUGGAGCUGGAUUGGUCCUCUAGAGUUGUCCCAACUUAGGCAAGGGAGCUGGAUCUUUAUUCCUUCCACCCCCACUGGCCAGUCAUUGGAUGUGGGUUGCCCUUGGGAGGAAGAGCAAUAUUGGGCAAAGCCAUUUUAUUUAGCUGAGACACUCUUUAAAGAGGGUUGACAGGUAAGGACUAUUUUCUGGCAGCAAUCAUAGAAGUAUGGGGUUUAAUCCCAGAAGUAAGACUUCAGCCCUCCAGGGGGAUCUGGGUAGCUCAUCAUCGUAGCUUCCAUUUAUUUUAUUUAUUCUCCCUGGCUGUUGGUCUACUCUCCCUCACUCUAUUCUGGUAAUAUUGUUGACAUUUUUACUUAGAUAUUUUGAGGCUAUGUUAUUAGGUGCAUACAAGUUUAGAAUUGUUAAACCUGUGUGGUAAAUUGAACAUUCUGUUAAUGUAUAAUGAGCUUCUACUAGUAAUAACUUUUGCUUUAAAGUUUGUUUUGUUUGGUAUUGCUAUAGUCACACUGGAUUUCAUUUAGUUUGUAUUUUGGUGAAUCUUUUUCCAAAAUGUUCUUUUUAAUCUUUGAGUUUCCUUAAGUGUUAGCUGUGUCUUAUAAAAAGCACAGAGGUUUUUUUUUUUUUUUAAUUUGUCUUCUAAGUAGAGAGUUAUUUCACUUGGAUCUAUUGUGAUUACUGAUAUACUUACUGACAAUUAUAACUUAUUUUUAUCAUGUAAGUUUGUACCUUCUAUUUGUCUCGCUGUAAGAAGUUUCUUUUUUCUUCUUUCUUGCUUUUUGGAUAGUCAUUACAUUUUUUUUUCAUCCCAUCCCUCAAUUCAAAAAUUAUACUCUCUAGUUCUCUUUUUAAAUGGCUAUCUAGAAAUUGCAAGAUGCAUGCUUAACAUAGUAAAGUCUAAAGCUAAUAUCUUUACCUUUCUGAAAAAUACAAGGAAUGAUUAAGAACAUGUUAACUCACGUCACUGCCUUCCAAUUUUUAUUUUCUUAUUUGGAAUUCUAAUCUCUCUUUCUUUAGCACCACUAAUUGGAAGUUGUUAUUAUUAUUACUAUUAUUUAUAUAGUCAAUAUAGUUGACCCUUGAAAAACACAGUUUUGAAAAUAUAAGCAUGCAGUUUCAUGGAUUUUUUUGGAUGAAUACAGUACAGUACUAUAAAUGUAUUUUCUCUUCCUUAUGAUUUUCUUAAUAGCAUUUGCUUUUCUCUAGCUUUCUUUAUUGUAAGAAUAUAGUGGUGCCUGGGCAGCUCAGUCAGUUAAGCAUCUGACUCUUGACUUUGGCUCGGGUCAUGAUCUCGUGGUUGUGAGACGGAACCCCGCAUCAAGCUCUGCACUGUCAGUGCUUGGGGUUCUCUCUCUCUCCCUCUCCUUCUGCCCCUCCCCCACUUGUGCUCCCUCUCUCAAAAUAAAUAAAUAAACAUUAAAAGAAAGAAUACAGCACAUAAUGCCUAUAACCUACAAGACAUUUGUUAAUCGACUAUUUCCAUUGUGGGUAAGGCUUCCAGUCAACAGCAGGCUAUUAGUAGUUACAGAUUAUUACAAAUUAUUACAUUUGUUUUACUCUUUUACAUUAUUUACAUUUUUAUUUGAACCACUUACAGAUAAGUGGCAGACAUGAGGCUAUGGCAUUAAAUUUUUUUUUCACGUUUAUUUAUUUUUGAGAGAAAGAGAGACAGAGUGUGAGUGGGGAAGGGGCAGAGACAGAGGGAGACAUAGAAUCCAAAGCAGGCUCCAGGCUCUGAUCUAUUAGCACUGAGCCCGACGUGGGGCUCGAUCCCACGAACCUUGAGAUCAUGACCUGAGCCAAAGUUGGAUACUUAACUGACUGAGCCACCCAGGUGCUCCAAAGCUAUGACAUUUUAAACAAAAGCCAUAAAUAUUUUUAAAAUAGACUUUAUUUUUUUAGGGCAGUUUUAGAUUUACAGGAAAAUUGAGAAGGCAGUCCAGAGUUCCCAUAUACUCAGCACCCAGUUUCUCCCCUGGUUAACAUUACUUACAAUUAAUGAACCCAUAGUGACACAUUAUAAAUAUUUUUAAAAAUUUUUUAAAUUUAUUUUUGAGUCAGAGAAAAACAGAGCAUGAAUGGGGGAGGGUCAGAGAGCGGGAGACCCAGAAUCUGAAGCAGGCUCCAGGCUCCAAGUUGUCAGCACAGAGCCCGAUGAGGGACUUGAACUCACGGACUGUGAGAUCAUGACCUGAGCUGAGCUUAACCAACUGAGCCACCCAGGCGCCCCCCAUAGUGACACAUUAUAAUCAGCUGAACUCCAUUGUUCAUUUGGAUUUCUUUAGUUUUUACCCACAGCACCAUAUAACAUUUAGUUGUUAUGUCUCUUUUAGGCUCCUCUUGGCUGUGACAAUUUCAUACUUUCCUUGUUUUGAUCAUCUUGACAGUUCUGAGGAGGACUAGUCAGGUAUUUUGUCAAAUGUCCCUCUAUUGGAAUUUAUGUAAUGUUUUUCUCGUAACGCUUUUGGUUUAAAAGAGGACGAUCAUAGAAGUAAAGUGCCUUUUUUAUCACAUCAUAUCAAGGGUACGUGCUAUUAACAUGAUUUGUCACUGUUGAUGUUGACGUUGACCUGAGGAAUACUGAGCUAUUUAAGGCUUCUGUAAACAUUAUCAGUGGCUUUCAGGUCAGGUCAACUAUUCUGAAAAAAAUUUGGAAGUUCAAUUAUUUUUGAAUCAUCAUGAGACUUGUACAAUAGCUGGAAAAUUCAUUGCAAUUCAUGGAGCUGCCUAUGUUGGUGGGAAUUCCUAACUGUAAGGUUAAUUUUUUUUAAAUAUAUUUUUAAAAAUGUUUAUUUCUUUUAAGAGAGAGAGAGCAUGGGGGAAGGGCAGAGGGAGACAGAGAGAGAGAGAGAGAGAGAGAGAGAGAGAAUCUCAAGCAGGUUCUGUGUUGUGGGCGCAGAGCCCCAUGCGGGGCUUGAUCCUACAAACCAUGAGAUCAUGACCUGAACCAAAACAAAGAGUCAGAUGCUUAACUGACUGAGCCACCCAGGUGUCCCUAUACUAUAGGGUUAAUUUUAUACAGUGUGUUUUUGGUGAUGCUAUGAACUAGGAAUUAAUGUUAGAAUGGAAUGUCUUAACAUCAAUUCUUUUUUUUUUUUAAUGUUUUUUUUUGAGAGAGGGAGAGAGACAGAGCAUGAGUGGGGGAGGGACAGAGAGAGAGAGAGAGAGAGAGGGAGACACAGAAUCUGAAGCAGGCUCCAGGCUCCUAGCUGUCAGCACAGAGCCCGAUGUGGGGCUCGAACCCACAGACCGCGAGAUCAUGACCUGAGCCAAAGCUGGACACUCAACUGACUGAGCCACCCAGGCGCCCCUUAAGAUCAAUUGUUUAAAACAUUUAGCGUAUUUGAACAGAGAUUUUUGCAUACAUCCACUUGAAGCUAAGAGCAUCUGUAUCCAUCUGUACCCCAGAUGUAGCUUUUGAUUUUCUAGAAUUGUUUUGCAAAGGAACACAUCUUAUCUAAAAAAUGAUUUAGCUGUCUUGUUUCCACUAUUCUUGUUUCCAUUCACUGAAUAAACCUUUUGGAUGUGUGAGCAGUUACAUUUCCCACAUCCUACAUUUGAUCAUUUCUAGGAGCCAAUAAGAGAGUUCAGUGAAGUGAAUUUGAAUGAUUUAUUUGUACAGAAAGAAUGAAUUUCCUCUUAGCUGUACAUCCGACACCCACACGAUACCUCAUCUCUGAUGCUGGGAAGGAACAUUUUCGGGAGAAAUUUGAUGCCCAAUUAGUGUGUUUUAAUUUGGUCAGUGGAAUUUCCAUCUGGCUCUGAUGUGUAUUCUGGAGGACAGACUAGCAUGUAGUUAUACAGCUUAUUAGUUUGUGAGAUGGGGUCAUAGGUACAGAGGACAUUUCACCGAAGCAGGAUUUUAAAGAUUCUGAGUCCCCCCCUCUGUUUUUGUUAGCUACGGGAUGCAUGGGGACAGAGAAAGCACGUGAUACUUAUUUUGUGGUUAAACACCUUAUUAUCAACAGCUUAAAAUAAGAAAGAACAUCGCAAAUAUAGACUGCAGAUAGAGGUCUUCUCUCCUGAAGAAACGAGACAUUUACAGAUACAAUGAUAUCUCACAGAUAGGUGCUUCCUUGCUGUAGAAUUACUGGUCACAAAACUUGAGAUAAAUGUGUUUAGCAAAAAUUACAAGUAUGCUUUUAAAGUUUUAUUGUUCCAUAUAUGUAGAGGCAGGAGGAGGAGAAGGAAAAGGAGAGAGAGAGAGAGAGAGAGAGAGAGAGAAUAAACAUACUCAUCCCUCACAACUUCCGUACGUUGGGAGUAUGCACGCGCUAAUACUGAAAAGUCUAAGAUAAAACAUGCCUGUUUUAAAAGUGAAGUUUUCACUGCAGGGUUUGAUUCCUGUUAUGCUGAAAAAAACAGGAGAUUCCAGAUGUAAGGGAUCCUGGCCAAAAACCUCUACUUUCUAUUUUUUGCAAUGUAUCUUUUUAGUCCCUUUCAAGGAGGCACAUUCUCUGUUUUCUGGCCUUUGCUGUUCCAUUUUUACACACGGGAGCACGAUCUUAGCUGAUGCUGUCCAUGUCCCUUCUUCCUCUAAGAAUUACACUCCCUUCCUGGGUCCUGUCAGCUCUACAGCUUUGUCACACUGUGGAGUAAGGUCCACGCUUGCUUGUCUCUUAAUGUUGUCCCUGUCCUUUCUUUAGGCACCAAGUUCGCACGUAUUGUUUUGAUUUUCUGUCUUUCACUAAAGUGUAGUAAUAACAAUCUCAAAUGGUUGUGGGAUGUCGGGUUUGAAUGGGAAGGUCUCAGUGUGUUUCUGAUGCCAGUUCUUAAUUUCAGGUGAUUAGCAGUUCAUUAUUUUUCGGAGAGAGAGGUGACUGUGUAUCCAUAAAACUGAAAUCUUGACUUUUGCUCAUGCACAAUUCCAACUGUACUGAAUCACGACUUCUAAGAUACGAGCGAACAAAGCCCCAGGCAAAGAGGUUUACUGUGAAAACAUUCAGUCCUUCCAGGAACAGGACCAGUAAUUUCUCCAUCUGUCUGUAGAGUCUGAACCUCAGGAUGUCUGUGAACGUUUUAUUGUGUUCCACUGUACCCUCGAGUCUGUUUCCCAGCCCUGGAAAAUGCCCAUGAGAAAGGGUUGUGCAACGCUAACUGUUAGUCACUUUAUAUUUCCUGAAUAUUCCCUAUUUAAUUCCCUGGUAGCUGGCAAUAACAUCUAGGAUUUAAAUUGCUGAAGGGAAUUCGGGAAAACCCACAUAAAUGUCUAAGCUGGGGUUUGGCAGGCUCUGUGUUUUGGUGACAUAACAAUGCCAUAACGAGAGAUUUCAUCUCCCAGAAGAGGCAAGAAAUCCCUACCACCGCCAGACACCCACCGACACUCAUCUGAGUCUGAGGAUCAUCGUUUGUUAUAAAUGGAUUGGACAUAGUUUUUCAUCUGAUUCCCGGGCUGCUGGAAUAAAAAUUUGGCCCUGGAGUUUAAAUGCAACGAGAUUUCUUUAGAAAUGGGCACCUCGAAGGGUUAGGGGACUUUUUAGAAAGACAAAAGAAAAUGUAGUACGUUUUCUGUAAGAGUGGGCAACAGCUUCUCCGUGAAGAGCCCACCCCACUCCCUCCGGAUGGAGUCUGAGCUCUGCGGAGGGACAGGCUGGGCCUGACCUAACCACCAAGCCAACCCCAGCAAUCAGAUGGGUGAUGCUGUUCCCAGGCAGACUUUUCUCACACCCUAGAGGCUAAUGGACGCGAUUUUUUUUUUUUUAAUUUUUUUUUUUUCAACGUUUAUUUAUUUUUGGGACAGAGAGAGACACAGCAUGAACGGGGGAGGGGCAGAGAGAGAGGGAGACACAGAAUUGGAAACAGGCUCCAGGCUCUGAGCCAUCAGCCCAGAGCCUGACGCGGGGCUCGAACUCACGGACCGCGAGAUCGUGACCUGGCUGAAGUCGGACGCUUAACCGACUGCGCCACCCAGGCGCCCCACGGACGCGAUUUUUAAUUUAAGACAGCCUUUUACAACUUGAGGUAUUAUAUUUACCCUUAUCACUGCGAAAAUGGUCUGACACGUCUUGAAUUCAAUUCCACCCUCCAUGUUGUUUGAUGCUUUAUAAGUUUUGAUUGCUUCAAGGUACCUUUUCUCUUUGUUCAUUUUUUGUUAUUAUUGUGGUUUGGACGUAAGAAUAUGACCGUGUGCUCUAGAAUUUCAUGGCUUUUUUUAAAAGUUUAUUUAUUUAUUUUGAGAGAGAGAGAGCAGAAGAGGGGCAGAGAGAAAGGGAGAGAGAGGGAAUCCCAAGCACGAUCCACACUGUCAGCACAGAGCCCCAAGUGGGGCUCGAACCCACGAACCAUGAGAUCAUGACCUGAGCCAAAAUCAAGAUUCGGACGCUUAAGCGACUGAGCCACCCAGGCGCCCCUGGAAUUUGAUGACUUUUUAUUGGGGAGACUUGUAUACUCGCAAAGGAAGUUCAUUGUCCCCCUCCUUACUGUUCUCCAUGUAUACCUGCUAAUUCUGUUGUAGUUACUGAGUCAUCCGGGCUACUGCUCUGUCUAGUUCUCUCAUAUUUAAUUCUGUCACUUUGAUAAAUGUUGAGGUCACCAGUUACCAUUAUAUAUACUACUGGCUGCAUUUCGCCACGUAAGACAUUUUUAUUAUAUUUACUGGAUCACGAAUAGUAUGUUGUGUUUUUUACCAUUUCAUGGUCUACUAUUACAUGGUGAUUUCGUCUGCCCAUGGUUCUUGCUGUAGCCUUGACUUAAUCCGACACUGUGGCGGUCCGCUCAGCUCUUCUGAAAUUUGUGCAGGUGUCUUAGAGCGUAAGCCAUCUCGUUCCUUCAAAGGUUGUCAUCGGCUCCUGUUCACGUGACUCCUGUGGACAGGAGACUGUUGGGCUUUGCUGAAGGGUGAAGUCUAGUCUCUUUGCUCAUUGUGUUGCAAUGAUAUCUCCUCAUUUACAUCUGUAGCUCUAACUCCAGAAGUUGGACGUCUAGAAGGCAUCUGUAUUCAUUUCCCAAGGCUGCCAUCAAAUGUACCGUAAGCCGGAAGGCUUAAAACGAGAGAAAUCUGGGGCGCCUGGGUGGCACAGUCGGUUAAGCGUCCGACUUCAGCCAGGUCACGAUCUCGCGGUCCGUGAGUUCGAGCCCCGCGUCAGGCUCUGGGCUGAUGGCUCGGAGCCUGGAGCCUGUUUCCGAUUCUGUGUCUCCCUCUCUCUCUGCCCCUCCCCGUUCAUGCUCUGUCUCUCUCUGUCCCAAAAUAAAUAAAAAAAAAAAAAAAAAAAAAAAAAAAAAAAAAAAAACGUUGAAAAAAAAAAACGAGAGAAAUCUGUUGUCACGCAGCUUUGGAGGCCUCAAGUCCAGAAUCGAGGGUCAGCAGGGCCACGCUCCUUCCGAGAUCCUAGGAAGAAUCCUUCCUGAAGCCCCUGAUGGUGGCAUUCCUUGACAUCCUCAGUGCUCCUUGAUGUGGAGCCGCCUCUCUCCAAUCUCUGCUUCAUCUUCAAAUGACCUCCUGGCAGAGACGUUAGUCAUAUUGGACUCUGGGCCCACCUUGCUGCAGUAUGAUCUCGUCGUAAGGAAUUACACCUGUAAGACCCUUUCCCCGAAUAAGAUCACAUUGUAAAGUACUGGGGGCUGGGACUUUAACAUAUCUUUUGGGGAAGGGGGACACAAAAUUUUAAUAUAGUUUCCAUGUCAUUUUUUAACGGCUUUGUUGAGAUACCUUCCUGUGUUUUUUUUUGAGAUAGUUCCUGCCUUAUGACCUUUCCGUUUGCAGUGUCUUUGCCCCAGUCUUCUCAUGGCCUCCUUAGAUCCUUCAGCCCUCUGCUCGAAACUUCUUCAGAGAGGCCUCUUCCGACCACUCUAUUUAAAAUAGAAACUCUCAUCCACUUACACAUAUCACUGUCUGACGUUUUGUUUGUUUGAUGACUGCACAUUUCCCCAGGUACAUUGUAGGCCCUGGGAGAGCAAGAAAUUCACCUUGCCAUUGACCAGAUGUCCCCAGGGACUAGAACGGUGCCUGGCACACAGUAGGCGUUCAGUUAAUACGUGCUGAAUUAACGUGAGAAUGAAUAUAGUCGUAGCAUCAUCCAUUGCCCUAUCACUUUAUUGAGCAGAGUUCUGAAUCAGAGUGAAUAAGGAGGAGAUAUAUGGGAAUGUUUCAGUGGAGCAUAGGACAACAGUAUGUGCAAAGGGCCUGAGGCAAGAGUGUGCUUGGCAUGUCCAGGUAACAACAGGGUUGGCCAGUGAGUGUAAGUGAGCAGUAGGAGAUGUGAUUGGAGAAAGGGACCAUAUCAAGCCCCUCUCCCCCUUCCCACAAUCUUUGGGCCACCUGACGUUCUUUCCCCGGCUGUUCUAAUAGCUGUCUUCCCAUUCUUGGGUGGUGGCUUAAAUACCACCUCCCUCUCAUAUUCCACUGCCACAGCAUCCCAUAGCAUUUAUCACCAGCAGUGAAUCCACUCACUUCUUUAUUGUCUUGCCCUCCCACUGCCCCAACCGACACCGAAGUGCUGUGUGAGUCAAGAUCACGUUUGUUUGAUAACUGUUGUGUUCCUGGCAUCCAAAAAGGUGCACACUCCCGCAAGUGUUGGUUUGUUGGUCGAGUGAGUGAAUGGGGACGAACUUCUAUCAGUAAACGAGUUCCCCUGAGUUGCUUAAUUCAGUUUAUAAAAACACAGUUUAUAAAAGUUUCUCUUUUCCGGGGAGGAAAGGAAGGGGAGAAGAGAGAGAAAGGACAGCCAUAUCUAAAUAUGCUUCCAUCUCCCAUAUUUAUUACCAAAUAAUACAGUUAUAUUUCUGGCAUUCUCCUGUGUGACAUUUUUCUAUUCCCAUGACCUUAAGGCAUAUCCCUUAUGAAUUCUGAGGCUCUGUUUUCUCUCUUGCCACACGUAUCGAGUUUUCACCCAACAUAUUUUCCCAGUGUUUUUUGAUUCCUUUUCACAUAGUCUUCAUAACGUUAACCUUAUAAGGCACAUAAAUAUUUCUAAUCUGAGUUUAAACAAGAAAAAAGUGAAGUUAAUUGUCUACAGUUAGUAAGUUCAUCGAUGAACUUUUAUUAAGUGGUCUGCUUACCAACUCCCCAUAUAUUUAUUGUGUACAUACUGGAUACGAGGCACUGGUCUAGGCUCUGGGGGGUCCUGGAGUAAGCUGGGCAGGCGAGAUGUGGUUCUUGCCUUCCCAAAGCUUCUGUUCUGGUAUGAGGCAGACACUAAAAAUUAUUUUCAUGAGAAGUUAUUGAAUUAAAUCUGCAUGUAAUUGAUACACAAAAAAGGAGUAUGUGAUGCCAUGAAAGCAUCUUACGGUAGGACCUGAGCUAGUCUUAGGGGUCAAGGACACCUUCUCUGCUAGUUUCUUCUUCAUUAAACAUUCUUCUCUUUUCUGUUACGAACAGAACUCUGAUUUCGUUUGAAUGGGCAGAGUAUCCAUUUUUGUACUUCCCUCGCAACGAGGGAUGGCCACUGGACAUUGCACUGACUAGUCACGUGGUAGAAGUGGACCGGAUGGUGCCGGCUGAGUUUCGCUUUCCUGGAGUAGAUUCCGCCUCUUCGUCCUCAGUCUUCUUUCCACUUCCUCCUUGAUAGGGGUGUCCAUGGAGUGAUACGAAGACCGAAGUCACAAAGGCAUUGACGAUAUCUGGGACCUGGUGCCCCUGCCCUUGGGUUUCUAUCCCCCAACCUCUUACGAGGUGCUAACAAUGAGCCCCUAUUUGAUGAAGCCACAGAAGAGGGGUUUCUGUAUUACGCAGCUGGGUGCAGUUCCUAGUUAAUACAAGCUUACUUGAGGAAAUGGCAUGUGAACUGGGCUUUGAAGGAUGUGAGUAGCAACUAACUGAGUCCCCACGUGCUCUGCAUAGACCUAGGGCUUUUGAACGCCGGGGUCUCAUCAUCUGAGUUGAAGGGUAUCGGAGCACAAUUUCUUAAAUCCCUCUACAGUUGGACUUGACGAUGAACCUGCCGGAGGAGAAAAGGCUAAAAGCAGCAGCUGGCCCUUGCCAUGUGCGAGGCACUGUUCUAAGGGGUUUACACCCGUGACCUCUUUCGGUUCUUACGACAACCCUUCGAGAGAGGUGCCAUUGUUGCCCCCUCUUAGUUGAGGAAGCCAAAGCAAAGACAGAUCAAGCCAGUGGCUCAAGAUUGCAUAGCUACUAAACGGAAGAGCCAGGAUUUGAAGCCCCGUAGUGUGGCUUGAGAGCCUGAGCUCAUUAACUCGUGACGAGUGGGCUUGACCCAAACUUUGGACUCAUUCCUGUCUUUGAUGCCUAAGAGGCCUCCUGAGAUGUGGUGCCCAAACAGGAGACGUUGACUGUUCUUACCAAGGAGUGCACUUCUGGACUCUGUUCCUCGCUAGCUGAUAAGCCAGUUAGGUGAUGGUUUUGGAAUACCUUCAUGUCGGUCCUCUCCUUUUUGUUAUUUCUGGGAACCCUACCGAACCAACUGUUCCCUCAAGUCAUGAGACAGAGAAGUUCUUGAUAGUCUUUUUUUAGACCCUGACCCAAAGUCUAUCAAUUUGUUCCAAGUUGCGAUAAAAAUAUUUAUCGCAAGCACACGCAUGUUGUUUUAUUUUUUCCCUAGCUUCUGGACCGUUGCUUUGUCUGUCUUUUAUUGCUGCUUCUGGGAUGCCCCUGGAAACACGGAAGCUUCCCCCAUUAGGUCCAGCUCAGGGUGCGACUCAGAAAGCAGUCCAUGGAUUACUAGUUCAAAACCAGUUCGAAAACUGUUACUGGUCUGCGGCAAGAUGAGUAGGGAAAUGAAGAGGCUUCGGGCAAUUUGGCAUGGCCACAGUGUCCAAGGAUGUGGUCCCUGAGCUAGUCUUGUUGAUGGGGCACGGGCCACUCCAGGUGCUGGCGCACUCACCCAAUGAGCUGGUUGUCACAGGAGCUGUGUUACAGGCAUGGGCAACAGGACCACUUGGUUCACGAUGGAUUGGAAAUGAGAACAAAAGUGCUUCUUCACGACACAUAGUUUGAGAAUCCCACCUGUGACUCGCGGUGGCAAUUCAGCGUGUGUCAUGUAAUCUGGCCCUCGACCUUAUUUUGGUAAGCUUUAUUCUAGUCAUUUCAUCUGUGGAGCCUCCUUGCCUGUGAUGCCACAGCCUGUCCUUUCUUUCCUUCACAUCUACCGUAGCACUUAGCAAGGUGCUGGCCACAUACAGGAGACAAACCUCAAAUGCUUUGGGGUGCCUGGGUGGCUCAGUCGGUUGAGUGUCUGACUCUUGAUUUCAGCUCAGGUCACGAUCCCAGGGUUGUGGGAUCGAGAUGGCAGUUCGAGUCUGCUUAGAAUUCUCUCCCUCUCUCCCUCUCUCUGCCCCUCCCCUGCUCGCACUCUCCUCUCUCUCUCUUAAAAACAAAACAAGGGUUUUGUUGUGUUUUUGCCGUGACUCAAAUCAUGAGAUGAGGGGGGUUGGGCAGGCAGGAGAAGAGUCAACUUUGCCUCACUUGGUGCAAAAAAGGGAAAACAAUCCCUCAUAACUUAGAUUUUAGAAAUACAAUGUCAAGGAAGAAGCUUCACGAGUACUAUUCUAAUGACCAUUUAUGGGAGCCUGUCGCACACCAGGCAUUAUGCUAGAGGCUGUAUUUGUUUCCAUAUGUUGCUUCACUUAAUCUUUGUACCAUCUCGUGAAGGUAGGUAUACUUACCGCCAUUUUGCCAAUGAAGGAGAUGACGUAUCAGAGAGGCUGAGUGACUUAUAUGAGGUCACACAGCUACUGAGUGGUGGUGGUCUGUCUGACUUCAAAGCCUGUGUGCUUUUUCUUCUUCCCGUUAUUACUUAGUGACAGCAUGUAUUGCUAAAAGGGAAGGUUACCGGAUUUAGAAAACGACUUCAAAUGUAUUUGAAAUAUCAUUUUUCUAAAAUAGCUUUUUUGGUAAUUGUUGCUAUGUCUUAGAUUUCCAUUAAAGCCCUGUCUGUUCUAUACUUUGCUUUUACUUCAGACGAUGGGGCACGAUCUUCCUCGGCCCAGGCCGUCCAGCAAAUUACAAUUCCAGAUUCACCUUUGCACCUCUUGGGAGAAGACAGACAGAGCCUUCUUUUUGGGGUCUAAUUAGGCCGCGAUUUAGCCUCGUGGCCCCGGAGAUCGGGACAUGCAGCUUUAGCAGAGACGUGCAUCCCGUCUCUGGGGACAGCAGGGUUGUCACAUGUCUCCGUGGUGUAUCAUAUGCAAACUGUGUCUAGGAUGGGCUUUUCAGAUGCCGCUUUCUGGCUCCUGGGGGAGAAUUGUUUUCUAAUGUUUUUAGUAGUUUCCAAAGGCUUUUAUUCCCUAAUUUAAAUGUAUAAUUACCUGCUCCUAAUUAAGUCCCGUCUCUGAAAACUGCGUCAACAACUUGCUGUCCGGAGUUAAGGUUGAACUGCAGUUUAGACCAGACAAGGGCACAUUUACUGAGGACCAAGAGAUACUCAGCCUGGUUGUCUAAUUAUCCCCCCGAACACAGAUUUAUAAUUGUAUUCCGUUAGAUGUAUUUUAGAAAACUGAACUGACUGCCUUAGGGAUGAAGCAGGUAAAAUGGAGAUUUUUAUGGUAGUUUAAUUUCUUUUUUUUUUUUUUAACGUUUUGUUUUAUUUUUGAGACAGAGAGAGACAGAGCAUGAACGGGGGAGGGUCAGAGAGAGGGAGACACAGAAUCUGAAACAGGCUCCAGGCUCUGAGCUGUCAGCACAGAACCCGACGCGGGGCUCGAACUCACGGACCGCGAGAUCAUGACCUGAGCCGAAGUUGGCUGCUUAACCGACUGAGCCACCCAGGCACCCCUCUUUUUUUUUUAAGCUUAUUUCUUUUGCGAGAGAGGGGUGGAGAGAGCAUGAGAGGGGGAGGGGGAGGGGGAGAGAGAGGGAGAGAGAGAGAGAGUGAGGGGGGCAGAGAGAGAGAGAGAGAGAGAGAGAGAAUCCCAAGCAGGCUCCACUGCCAUCGCAGAGCCCAAUUCAGGGCUCGAACUCACAAACUGUGAGAUCAUGACCUGAGCCAAGACCAAGAGUUAGAUGCAUAACGGCCUGAGCCACGCAGAUGUCCCCCCUCCACUUUUUUGUUGUUUUUUUUUUUUCUUGUAAGUAGGCUCCACACCCAAUGUGGGGCUUGAACUCACAACCAUGAAAUCAAGAGGCGCAUGCUCUUAACUACUGAACCAGCCAGGCGCCCCAGUAUUACUAAUUUGAUUGUGGAAAGGUGUUUGAGAAACUACGUCUUUUAUAUUUUGUUUAUGUUGCGGUGAUUCAGUAAUUAAAUGAGAAAGCAGACUAAUAGUGACUCAGGAUUCCAAUAUGAAGAGGAGAGACAUAAGGAAGGAAGAAAGUAAAUUGCCCUCUUCAGAACGUAAGCAGUCUGCUGAAAAGUAGUUUACCUAGCAUAGCAUCUCGCAAAUAGAUGUGUGUGUACUUAAGUAAUUUUUCUUUAGCCAAUUAUCUCUGUCACAUCACUGUUUCUUUAAUCCCUCACAUCUAAUUGCUGAUCAAAGCCUAAAUUCCAACUGCUCAAUGAAGCUCUUAAUCUGUCCCUUCCUCUCCAAUCCUGCCGCCCUAUAGCUACUUUACCUCUUGUUCCUGAACUGGUCUCCCUUGACCCCAGGAUCUUCCACUCCUUGAUCCGACUUUUGUCCUGGUACCAUGGUGGUGGCUUAUUCGAAAACAUGUACUUGAUCAUGUCACUCUACCACUGGAAAGCCUUCAUUUCUCACAGGAAGAAGGAGGAGGAGGAGGAGGAAGAGGAGAGGAGAGGAGGAGGAGGAAGAGGAGGAGAAAGGAGGAGGAGAAAGGAGGAGGAGGAGAAAGGAGGAGGAGGGAGGAGGAAGAGGAAGAGGAGAGGAAAGGAGAAGGAGGAAGAGGAGGAGAAAGGAGGAGGACGAGAAAGGAGGAGGGAGGAGGAGGAGAAAGGAGGAGAAGGAGGAAGAAAGCAGAGGAGGAGGAAGAGAAGGAGAAAGGAGGAGGAGGAGGAGGGAGGAGGAGGAGGAAGAGAAAGAGAAGGAGGAGGAAGAGGAGGAGAAGGAGGAGGAAGAGGAGGAGAAGGGGGAGGAAGAGAAGGAGAAAGGAGGAAGGAGGAGGGAGGAGGAGGAGGAAGAGUGGGAGGAAAGGGGGCAGGGGAGAAGGAGGAGAAGAGAAAGACAAGGUAGAACCCAGACACGAAAGAAAGAUAAAGACAAGAUGGAGCACAGAGCCCCUGCUUCGUGAUGCUUGUCCACCUUUCCUCUAGCAUCCCUGCUAUUCCAGCCUCAGGGCCGAACCGGUGGCUCCUAGGUCUCUCCUUCCGUCAAACUGCUCUUGGCCGAGGACGCUCUUCACCAGCCUGCCUCCGAUCCCAGGUUUUGGCACCGGCUCCUCCUCGGUCAGCCCUCCCUGACAGUCUCUUCCUGCUCCCUCUGCUUCUACUUAACAACAAUCCCAGCGUGUUUUCAAUAUCAGUCUAGGUGCCAUCUAUUUUAAUUAUUAUGUUUUUAUCUAAUUAUUUUGUUUUAUUAUUUUUAAAGGUUUAUUUAUUUAUUUUGAGAGGGACAGAGACAGCGUGAGCAGGGGAGGGGCAGAAGGAGAAGAGAGAGAGAAUCCCGGGCAGGCCCUGCCAUGUCAGCACAGAUCUCGAUGUGGGGCUCGAACUCAUGAACUGUGAGAUCAUGACUGGAUCUGAAACCGAGAGUCAGACGCUUAACCGACUGAGCCACCCAGGUGCCCCUAAUCCUUGUAUUUUAAUGACAGUGUGCUGACCACCUAGAUUUGGAUUCUAGCUUUGCAUUUCCUAGCUGGGUUAAGUUGACAAAUGGCUUAAGUUCUCUGUACUUGGGUUUACUCGUUUGUAAGGUGGGGAUAUUAAUAGUGCCCACUUCUUGGGACUGUAGUGGAGAUUCAGUGAAUUAAUGUGUGCAAAGCUUUUGGAACCCUGGCUGGGACAAGCUGGGUGCUUCACUGAUUCCACGGAAAAGCCAUUAUGUGAGUUGCAUAGAUCUUAUUUGAGAAAAUACUUUAAAGGCAUUUUAUUUCUGCUCUUGUGCUUACUUGUGAGAUAAAUAAUUGGAUAAUAUUAAAUUCUGUAGCAACAACUUGCUAUUUGUCUGUAGAGUUCUUAGAAAAACGAGAAACUUUUCAAAUAAAGGACUGUUAUACUCCUGGGCAGAGAAGUUUACUGCAGUUUGAAUAUUAGUAAUUUUAGUCAGAGCCUUGACUGAUCGGUAGCUUAUCUGCAAUUUACCCAACUCGUUUGCUCGGUUUCUGAGUUACCUUAACCACACAGCAGAACCAUAGGUAAGAAGCAAAGAUUUCUGGUGUUGGUUCCUGGACCAUGCGAUUCAGGGAACGGCCGUGAGGUUCCUCGUUUUCUGUGGGUGAUUCUAUUUUUCACCAUUAUAAAUGUUGCUGAAGUGAACAUCCUUUACCCAAAACUCUUGUGCACCUUUAAUUAUGUCCUUAGAGCAAGUUGAUCAAAGUAGAAUGAUUGAGUCAAAGGAAAUAAAUGGAUAUUAGUUAUUAGCGUACCUUCCAAACAAGGUUUUAUUCAUUUAUACUCCUACCCAUAGCACUUGGAAGUGUCCCGUCUCCUCCACACUUCUGCUAUCACUGAGUAUUCAUCUCGUUUUCUUUUUUUAAUAUUUAUUUAUUUUUGAGAGAGAGAGAGACAGAGACAAAGUGUGAGCGGGGAAGGGGCAGAGAGAGACAGACACUGAAUCCAAAGCGGGCUCCAGGCUCCGAGCUGUCAGCACAGAGCCUGAUGCGGGGCUCGAACUCACAGGCUGUGAGAUGAUGACCUGAGCCGAAGUCAGACGCUCAACCGACUGAGCCACCCAGGCACCGCUUUAUCUUGGUUGUUGUUGUUGUUGUUGUUGUUGUUGUUGUUUUAAUUAUUUCCUUCCUUCAUAAGCCAGAGGAAAGAAAAGACAUAUGAAGAAGGUGUUUUGCUCAUACAGGGGAGGAGAUAUUCACCCUCAUUUCUCUUCCUUAUUCAUCUGUAAUAAAAGAUUCAUUUUUAAUAAGAGACUUAUGCUUUAGACUCCACUCUUUUUCUGAUCGCAGACUUCUAAUAUUCAAAACUUUUCAUACGCAGUACAUUUCUUUUAAAUCUUCAUAAAUGAGGUGCAAGAACAGAAACCUGCUAAUACUGCCACUGUGUGCAGUAAGUGUGGAUAAGAAGAAUCGCAAAGACUUUAAACUCCAGAAUCCCAAGACUCGCUUUCAAAAAGGGACGUGAGGAAUACCAGAAACAGUGGGAAUCAAAGAAGGUCAGCCUGGAGCUCAAUAUUUUCACUUAUUGGAUAGGACUGCGUAGAGUUUAAUGAGCGAUAGCCUUUAAUUUCUUUAAAGCUUUUAUUUAUUUUGAGAGAGAGAGCGAGAGAGAACACAAGCAGGGGAGGGUCAGAGAGAAGGAGCGAGAGAGAGAAUCCCAAGCAGGCUCCACACCGUCAUCGUGGAACCUCAUGGGGGGCUUGAACCCACGAACUGUGAGAUCGUGACCCGAACUGAAAUCAAGAGUCAGACGCUCGACUGACGGAGCCACCCAGCUGCCCCCAGAGACCUCUGACAUGCAUGGUUUGUGGAGCGACUCAAGAUCUCUUGGUGACAUUGUUUGAAAAAUGAUCAGAACAGUUAAUUUUAUUCUCUUUUUAUGCAAAAAGGUAUGAAUUAGAAAGAUUAAUACAUAACUUUGUGAUGAUUGGUGGUACUAUUUAUUACUUCCUACAGUUUUCUUAUUAGGUACUCUCUGGAAUGAUUAUGUAUGUAUAAAGGAACGUUAAUGCAUAUUUAUAGCUAAAAAGUAGUUAGACAUGGGGAUUUUCACUCUACUGUAUAUGUAUAUAUGUAUUUUUUCCCUAUGUAUAUGUAUGUAUACAUACACGUAUAUAUACAUAUAUAUUUUUUGAAAGAAAGGACCUUCAUGAUGUUCGAAAGUAAAAAUCUGGGGAGCUGCGGGAGGGAAGGAAGGGGUUAAACAUGGCAGGAGGGUGCCAGGACAGGCCUCUGGGCUGACUUCUCAUUAGGAAAUCUGGUAUUUCAGGUUGGACUGGGCCUUGGGAAUGGCUGCUCCUUUGUUCAAGAGAAAGAGUGCGUUGGAUCUGCCUGCACUUUCAGACCUGACUUGUAGAAAAUGAAUUCUAGAACUUUCUAGGGUCAGAAAGGGAGGCGGCCCUGCAGUACCUUGAACAGAGGUAACCCCUUGAAUCGGAGAUGGUGUCCCUGAUCCUCAGGUUACGCACACUGACAGCCUGGACACCCAUGGUGGUGAUUAACCCUACGGAUCCCUCCAUUCCCCUCACAUUUAUUUUGAGAUUCGCUCUUUAGUAAAAGCGACCUUGACGCUGGCGGGAUUUUUUUUUUUUUCCUUCAGAUUUUAUUUAUUUAUUUAUUUAUUUAUUUAUUUAUAUUAUGAAAUUUAUUGCCAAAUUGGUUUCCAUACGACACCCGGUGCUCAUCCCAACAGGUGCCCUCCUCCAUGCCCCUCUCCCACUUUCCCCUCCCUCCCACUCCCCAUCAACCCUCGGUUUUUAUUUCAAGUGCUUUUGUUUUCCUGCUUUUCAUAGCUCGGGAUACAUUUAUUUAUAUUUCUCUGAUGACCAGCCUCUGUGCGUGGACUCCUUCUUGCGCCGUUUUUUCAAAAAGUUGCUUCGUUUAACCUGUGACUAAUUGGUUAGAUAAAACCAGCAUAUGUACUCCUAGAACCUAGGAGUACAUUUCGUCCCAGGCCUGGGAAGGAGGAGUAAAUUGCACUUCAUUCCUGUCAUUCUUUCUCUUUCCCUUUCCUGCAAAAUUAUCAUCAAAAGUCGUGUUGGAAAAUUCUUCAUUUGUCUAUCAGAGCUCUUUCAUUCAUUCGUGUAUUAUUCCGUAAAUCUCCCCCCCCCAGCCAGCUCCUGGACUCCAAGUGUCCUCCCACCCACACACAGCACAGGAAGGGAAGCUUCUCUAGGAGAAGAAACCGGUCAGGAAGGAAAGAGUAAGGACUAUGGAAUGUCAACUAAGUGAAAAAUUUGUGAUUUGGUGGAAAGAACAGCAGACCAGAGUCUAACACGUGGGUUCUAGGCUUAGCUUCCUACUGAUGGGUUGUGUGAAAUUGUCCAAUUGCAUCUAAUGUCUUGAGUCCCCACCUCCUUCGCUUGUAAAAUGGGGUGGCCUGCUUCCCUAGGAUGGUUGUGGGAAUCCGAUGAGACACUGCACGCCAAGUCUCUCUGUAAAUGCUCAGGCUCUUUCUGAGAGCACGGUGCCAUCAUUAUUCCGGAAGGAAAACAUGAGACAGGCAGGACAGGGCGUCCGUGUUGGGAAUUCAUUCUGGAGCGAGGUCGCAGCAGUCAUUGGGAAGAGUCUUCCUUGGGCAAUUUCAUAUUUACUUAUUUAAGUAAUCUCUACACCCAACGUGGGGCUCGAACUCAUGACCCCGAGAUCAAGACUCGCUUGCUCUUCUGACUGAGCCAGCCAGGUGCCCCAUUCCAUGGGUAACUUAAAUGACAAUGCCUCAAGGAAUUUUCCCCGGCUCUACCCCUCCCCAAGUCCAGGUUGUGCCCCUGGCAUGUGCCCCUAACACUGUAUACUUUUGUCCCCGAGCAUUUUGCAGGUAGCGGUACCUGUGUCCAUCUACAAGACCAUAAGCCCGUCGAAGUCAGGGCCUGCUCUCAUCCAUCACGAUGCCCACAGAUCCUGGCGCUGUGUCCAUAGGGACAGUAAGUAGACAAGUGGAAGUAUUUCUCACGAGCGAAGACCCGGAUGAGGCAUUCGGUCAGACAGCAUGACACGUCAAAGGAUUCUGCUGGGCACUUACGCUGUGUGGGAAAGUCAGCAGAUUGAAACCAGGUUUGGGGUCCAGAAGGCCAGUCUUAAGUCCUAGUAGUCUCACUGCUUAGCUAUAUUAUCACCAAGACAUCCCUGUGCUAUCGGGAAGCGUGCUCUCGCUUCUCAGCUUCGGAGAGUGACAACCUCUCUGUGCUUCAACAUCCUCACUUGAAAAAUGGAGCAAAAAAACACCUUCAAAUGCCUUAUCUUCUUCAGCCACGUUAAGCCGCGGUUUGGGUUUUUGUUCACGGCGCCAUAAGCAAAUGCUCUAAAGCGUUUUGUUUGGUUUUCAUUUUCCUGAAAAAUGACAACAUUCAGAUAUUUGCAGCAUUUCUCAAAUGAUGGGUAACAUUGUAACAAGAGCCUUGUCCUUUUUCUCUUGGCUCAUCUGUAACUCCAGACUUCCUGUUUGUUCGGGUUGUCGGAUGGCUUGGAAUCCUGGAGGUUUGAGGGAAGCCGAGUACCUGAAUAAGGCUAAUGACUUUGUAGAAGCCCAUACUUCUUGCCUGGUGCUCACCUCCCGCUACCACUAGCCUCGCACAAGCCGCUGUCAUCUCUGGCCUCCUGACGUACUUCCCCUUCUUGCCUCCAACCCACUUUUCACAACACAGAGCAGACGUUCCCCGAAUGCACAUCUGAUCGUACUCCUACUGACCGAGAGCCCUUCGGGAGGCCCCCCCCUGGCUGGCCAGGGCUCUUUCUCAGGAUCCUUCUCUUCUAUGUCAGUCUGUCUGUCUCUCUCUCUCUGUCUGUCGCACUCUCUCUGUCGCUUUCAGUUCCUCCAGCCAGCUGGACUCAGUUCUCUCCACCCCAGACCUAGUUCUGCUCUUCCUUCUGCAUGGAAUAUUCUCUUCUGUCUUUGCCUGGCCAACUGUACUAUCGUUCGGGUCUCAGUUUUAAUGGCACUUCUUGGUGGUGGGCCUUUCCUGACCCCCUAGACCAGACUGAGCAUCCUUGUGAUGUGAUCCUGACUCUUCCUCUGGCCUGCCUCGUCCCGUAGAGCUGUCUGUAAACUCCAUGAAGGCAGGAGCAAGCUUCUCCUGUUCACCUCUGCACCUCCAGAACCUGCCGAGUGCCGUGUGCCUCGCGUAGAUGGCGUGCCUCAGGUAGGAGUGUGCCUGUAAUGGGUUCAUUUUAAUAGAAAGGGUAGUUCCAGGGUGCCUGGGUGGUUCAGUCAGUUGAGCGUCUGACUACGGCUCAGAUCAUGAUUUCACGGUUUGUGAGUUCGAGCUUCGCAUCGGGCUCGCUGCUGUCAACGCAGAGCCUGCUUCCUAUCAAAUCCUCUGUCCCCCCUCUCUGCCCCUCCCCUCUCGUGUUCUCUCAAAUAAGACAUUUUUUUUUUAAAGAAAGGAUAGUGCCACCUAGCCAAAGCUAUAUCAUUUACUCUUCCACUAUGGUGCUCAUUCAUUCAGUUGUUAAUCCUCUACUCUGCCCGGCACUGUUCUGGGGGCGGGGCAUACAGCACUGAACAACACAGCUAUAGAUUGAGCUGGAAGGACAUUUCAGGCAGAAGGGAAGCCUGCAAAGCAGGUGGUUUCAAGGAACAGCUCGAAGGGCGGGCGGGAGGCUGGAGAACCAUGGGCCAGGAGAAGGAGGAAGGAGUGAGGACUUUGAACUUUACUCUGCCGGGGGUCUGAGCAGAGGAGGUAGGGGAAAUCCAACUGACUUGCGUUUUAAAAGGAUCCCUCUGACCUAUGUAUAGACUACUGACUCAAGGGAGAUAAGGCAGAAAGCCAGGACGCUAGUUAAGGAAGCUUUUCGAAAAUCCAGGCGGAAGGAUGGCAAUGACUUGACCCAGCAGCUAGCAGUGGGGGUGGUGAGAAACAGUUAGCUUCUAGAUCUGUUUUGAAGGACGGGCCAAGAGGAUUUGCUGAUGGGCUGGAUGUGGGAUGUGGGGAAAGCGGGUGGCAAGGAUGACACCCAGGGGCUUUGGCCUGGGUGACCAGAAGGAUGGAGCUGCCGGUAAGGGGACGGGCAGGUGGCCGGUAGAGCAGGUUUCGGGGGACAGAUGAGGAGCUCAGCUUCCACAUACUUAAGAUGCCUAUUAGUUACCGGCAUGUUUUUGCGUCCUAAAGUAAUGCAUCUAAGACGGCAAUUUUCUUUAAUCUAUAUAUGGAAAUAAUGAAAUACCAUACAUUUCUCCCCCCCCCACCCCCGAAAUGGAAACACAAGAUUGCCCUUUUCUGUAAAAUUCUAUGCCUGGCCAUUUCCUGUGCGGGUGCACUAGGAUUCCAUGUUUCUUAGAGGAGACGUCAGCCCGGAUCCCGUUUUAGAACCAGUAGAAUUGUGCACCGCUGAUGUUUGCUUCACUGUAUAAGGUAUUUAUUUACUUUUUUUUUAAGUUUAUUUAUUUUGAGAGAGAAGGUGUGAGCAGGGGAGGGGCAGAGAGAGAGGGAGAAAGAAAGAAUCCCCAGCAGGCUCCGAGCUGUCAUCGUGACCUGAGCCGAAAUCAAGACUCGGAUGCUUGAGGCACCCCUAAGAAACUUAUUUUUAUAGUAAGCCUGUUGGGGAAAAAAACAGGUAACUUACUCUAUUUCCAUACCUGAGUAAAAUGAUGCUAAGUACAAUUUAUCCAAUGACUGAGGUCUUGGGUCACCACUUAGAAUAAGCAGCUGCCCGCUGGGCACGCUGAGGGCCUCCUAUGUGCUGGUAGCUCUCCUCACUGUCACCGCGACAGGUAUGUGAGGUCCCUUGGGUGAGUUGGAGUUUUUGCCAUGGUGUUCGCUCAUUCUAUCCUUCCCGCUUUUUUUCCUUGUGUCCACCCCCCCCCCACACGCACAUACACACAGAUGAUAUUUUUAGCACACUUGCUUUCCAUUUCUGUUCUGACUGUUGAAAUACCUUUUUCUUUUCCUUUCUCUUCCCCUUGCCUUCCCGGCGAGUUCCAAUGAGCUGAGGUUGCCAUAUGUGAUUCUUAGAUAAGUGGGCUGUUACUAGUUUUGCAUUUUCCCUUCUGCAACUUUAACUUUUUGCCUGAGCUGCUGGGGGCCAUACUUACAGGCCAAGGGCCGGGUUGAUGCUGAAAAGCUACUAGUGGAUGACAUCUGACAAGAUACAGAUAAUCAAGAGUAUAGUCAUGACUGUGUCUAUGCAGAACUGGUCUGUAUCCUUUUCCUUGGCUAGAUAAGUUUUAUAUACUCCCCCCAAGAAUAGCAUUCUUUUUUUAAAAACAUUUUUAAAAGUUUAUUUAUUUUGAGAGAGAGAAAGUACACACAAGCUGAGGAGGGGCAUAGAGAGAGAGGGAGAGAGAGAAUCCCAAGCAGGUUCCAUGCCGUCAGCACAGAGCCCAACGCAGGGCUCGAUCCCACAAACCAUGAGAUCGUGACCUGAGCCGAGAUCAAGAGUCAGAUGCUUACCCAACUGAGCCAUCCCGGUUCCCCCACCCCCCAGGAAUAGUAUUUUUUACAGAAGAUGCCCCAAUUCGUGUUGUUGAUAACUAACACUGAGCAGAAAGAGCCAUUUCAGAGGAAGAGUUUUCGAAACUGGAAGACUGUGUAUGCCGUGAAAAUUAAUGUUAAUAAAGUCAGAUAUGUUGCUAGAUAUUCGUAUCCAGAAAAAUGGAUUUAUCACUGAAUUAACUUAAAAAAUUUUUGCCUGGUCCAAAAAUUACUUUUAAUUCUAACCACCGAAUGAUAAAUCAUAGUUCCUAGAAUGGAUGCAUUCUUCCAACAGCUGGUUUACUCGGAUUAUUCGGGAUUUUUGCUGGAAUCCAAGUGGUCUUUCAAGAGAACCGAUGAUUUUCUGAUGAAGCUGUUCACACGCUUUUGAAGCCAGGAGAAGGGGUGAGUAUUAAUUUGCAUUCUCUUCGGCUAUAGAAUUCUCUCUCAGGCCAGCAGUGUUUGAUGAAGUCUGAAUUCCCAUUUCAGUUGUAUAGACAACAAGACUGUAUGAAGGUAUGAAAUUGUCUUGGUAAGACGAAGUAAAAUUGGGCCACCACACAAGCAAACAUGGACAUCACCUGUAUCUGGAGUCUCAAAGUCAUGAAAUACGCAGUGUUUGAAAGGAUACGAGAAAUACAUUGAUUUGAUUUGAUUUUUUUCUUUUUGGCCAUCCUUCGUGUUACAAAACAGUUGAAGCUUAGUAUCAUUUCAAGCACGGAGUGUAAAGUGAUCGGUGAGGCUGGAUGGAGGAAAGGCAAAAGAAAUGAAUUUGAAGGACAAAAAAAAACAAAAACAAAAACAAAAAACCACAUAUCCUUCGAAGACCUCCCUGUCUCGAGGACAGAAAAUGCCUUGGCAGUCGCGAUUUUUGUGCAGUCAGAAGGGAGCUGAUUUCCCAGCUGUUCUGGUGUAUUUUCCUUAUUAGUCUUUGCUCCCACGGUCUAAGAGCAAAUACCGGAUCUAAGCGCCUACAGUACUGGUCAAGGACUGCAGCUUCCCUCGUGUGUGACUCACAGGCGCGAGCAAACCACCUACUGUAACAGCUGGCCCCAGACCCUGGCCCGGCCACAGCACAGCAGCUGCUUUGCUGGACCCCUGCUUGCUUGGCUAUUAACUGUCUUAACUGUUGCUCUUACCUUUAUGGGCUGUGGUAAAGGCAGGCUUUAUUUAUUUAUGUUUGUUUGUUUUUGAGAGAGAGUGUGCGUGCGCGAACAUGUGAGGGAGGGACAGAGAGAGAGGGAGACACAGAGUCCAAAGCAGGCUCCAGACUCCGAGCUGUCAGCACAGAGCCCGACAUGGGGCUCAAAGUCACAAACCGUGAGAUCAUGACCUGAGCCAAAGUCGGACGCUUAACCAACUGAGCCACCCAGGUGCGCCAAAGGUGGGCUUUAGAUACAUAGACCCUUGGGUCCAUUUUUCCCCAAUUGUAUUUCUCGGUUCUUACUAAAAGAUCUCAGCGGUCACCUGGAAGCGUAAUUUCGAUUUAGGAUGCUAGAAGGCCGCUCAUCAUUUACAACGGCCCUUCAUGUGCUUUUCUGCAUGCGUGAUUACUUUCUUGAUGAACAAAGGUUAUGCUUAGUUUCAGGCUUGGUUAUUAUUUGUUACUAUUACGAUCAGUAUGAGGUGAACCACCUUUAUAAGAACUUGUUUCCUUUUUUUUAAUGUUUAUUUUUGAGAGAGAGACAGAGGGCAGGCGGGGAGGGGCAGAGAGAGAAGGAGACACAGAAUCCGAAAGAGGCACCACGCUCCGAGCUGUCAGCGCAGAUCCUGACGGGGGGCUGGAACUUACAAACUGUGAGAUCGUGACCUGGGCCGAAGUCGGACGCUUAACCGACUGCGCCACCCAGGUGCCCCUUAAGAACUAGUUUCUUAAAACGGGAUGGCAUCUUGCUGCGUUUCUUUGACUCUCCACCAUACCUCUCCUCUGCCCAGAGGACCAUUCUCAAGGCUUCACUAGAGAAAGGGAGAGCACAGCACCUGGCCUCAGAAAGCCCCCAAACCAGUUGUGGCUACAGAUUAACAUGUGAGAAUCAAAGAUUCCCAAAGGAAGGCAAAUCAGAUGCAGUUUCAGAGAAAGGAGAGAUUUUUUUUUGCGGGGCAGGUCAGUCUGUGCCCCAGUGCUUGUGUCUUGCAGCCUUGUGUUUUACUGGGUAUUAGUAUUGUUUCGCAAAAGUUGUUCUGGAGUCACACGCCAUGCUAUUUUCAUCUUUCGAUCUCCGUAUUCUAGUACAUUCCAGCCCCUGCACGGGACACGACACUUUACACAUAACACGUGCCAGGUAAACAUUUGCUGACAUAAUUGAAUGGGAGAAGGCUUUGUGGAAAAGGCAGAGCUUGGGCCCGGCUUUAGAUAGAGAGGGGAGGUUGGCCAGUGACAUACUCUGCCUGUAUAUGAGUCAUUCGUUCUGGGCCUUGAGGAAGAACUUGCAAAGUCAAAACAGAGCGGAGACACAUGCCAGGUUGAAAGAGUAACUACGGCAGAGCAGAGGGUUAGUGUAUGAAAUAUGGGGUCAAGGAGGAGGCCUGGCAAGACGUUCUGGAGAAUAACUGGGACGGUAGGGUAGCCAGAUACAACAUCAGGGCCCCUUGGAGGUGCUGUGGGUGGAUGGACACCAAAGUAAUAGUCUUUCUCUCCCUAUCUCAUGCUGAGGACACACUUUUCAUUUGUACCUUAGCGCAUUUAUUGUAGUCUUCAGGUGUGGGCAGGACCUGUCAACGUGAUGUCAUAUUUCCCUUCUUUACAUGCGAAUGUUUUAUUUGUUAAUCAGUUUGUUCUGGAAUUGGUUUGUUUUCAGGAAAGAGGUGGAAUGCAUUUUGAAACACCAUUUGAAAAUUGGAUUGAGAACAUUAAAGUUUCUUUUUUUCUUCUUUUCUGUUUUUCCUGGGACCCUGGAUGACUUUAUAGAGAUGCCAUGGGUGAAGAAAAGGAAUUCUUGAAAACUAGAAAGCUACCUAGCUUGGGGCAAAGCAGGAAAAAAACAGCAGGUUUGGGGACAUGAGUGUUUCUGCACUGGCAGUAUUGUGGGCCAUCGAAGAAGAGACAGAAAUUGCCAUUUGAAAUCAGGGCUCAAGUGUGAGAGAAGUCAGGGCUGGAAAGAGAUUUAACAGUGGAAGUGGUAGUUAGAAAUGGGGGACAGUGCCUGGGGAGAGCAGGUGGAAUGGAGUUCUUUUUUUUUUUAAUUUUUUUUAAGUUUUACUUUUGAGAGAGAGAAAGAGAGAGACAGAGUGUGAGUGGGGGAGGAGCAGAGAGAGGGAGACACAGAAUCCAAAGCAGACUCCAGGCUCCGAGCUGUCAGCACAGAGCCUGACGUGGGGCUCGAACUCACAAACCCCGAACCGCAAGAUCAUUACCUGAGCCAAAGUCGGACGCUUAACCGACUGAGCCACCCACGCACCCCUGGAAUGGGGUCCUUAACUGGGAUCCAGAGUGGCUCUGGUGAUUGAAGGUCAGGGCUCUAUAGCCACCGGAAGUUAUGAGCAAUAUUUUCUUUGAGUUUCCACUUGGCAUGUUGGGAUGGAGUGUGUUUGUAAGUUUGGUCAGGUUCUUAGAGGUAUCCAAAGGUUAAGAAAUCGCUGAUGUAGAAUGGGAAGAGGAGAGCAAGAAGGUCAGAACUCUGAGGGGAAAUCAACAUUUAAGGAGUUCUCAGAGAAGAGCCAUGGAAAAAGGCCAAAGAGAUUGGGAAGGCAGAAAUCUAUCUGGGAAGUCAGGCGGAUGCGGAAGGCAAUGGAAUGCGGGGGCGCAGGGCAACAAGGUUAAAUGGUAUCUUAAGGUCGGGUAGGGCUAAAAGAAUGUGUUCGAUUGACCAUUAGGAAGUCAUUGGUGACUUUCAGGAGAGCAGUGUAAAUGGAGGCACAUUGUGAUAAGUGGAGGAUGGGACUCAGGGAGCCGGGAAGUUAAGUCCAGCUUUCUCUUUCUGGAAGGUUAACAUUUGACAAGAGUGAAUAUUUACUGAGUUCCUGAGAAGGGCUGGAACUUGGCCAUUCACUGCAGACACAAAUGUGAGCAAGGUAACAUAGGCUUUGCUCUCACGGAUCUUAGGGUCUCGUGGGAGAGAUAGGCAUUAAUCAAAUAAUGACACAGAGUAAGCAUGUCAUCACAAACUGGGAAGAAAUGUGGUGCCCGGCACUGAAGCAUGACCCAAUGUGGGGUCAAAGAAGGACCCCUGAAGAAGUGAGCUUUGUGCUCAGACCUGAAGGGUGAAUAGGAGUGAGAUAGUGAAGAGAACGGGGGCAGAGAGCAGAACAUCCUAGGCAAUGAGGGAAGCAAGAAUGAAGUGUACAGAGAGCGAGGGAAGCCCAGCGACAGGAGUACAUGCUGGGUCUUUUAAACGAGCAUAAAGAUCUGCGUCUAAGAACAUUCAGGAAACUGCUAAUCUGUGGAUGGUUGCGCACGGUUUUGCAUUUCAAAACCAAAUGGGAGAGUCCAGGUGAGGAACAAUGGUACCGCCUUGAAUCAGCAUCCUGGCAAAGAAGAUGGGGAGGAGCAGAGGGUUUCAGGAAUCAUGCAGGAGCUGAAAUAGGUAGGAGAGAGAGCGCUACCUUCUCUCUUAAAGAGUGCUUUAGGAGGUCCUGCGAAAAGUAAAGUUCUCCUUCAGGUGCUGAAUACCGAAGCUCAUUUGUAGGCAAAGGGAAAGAGCAGUGGAGAGAGCGAGCUUGAAGACAUACAAACCCGGAGGGGACACACGGCUACUAGAAUCGGAAACACUGUUCUCCAAAUCGCGAAGACGGGGCUGGUGAAUAUACAGGUGUGGUUACAGGUAGAAAGGAGGCAAACUGAGACAUGAAGACGUGGUUCAUGAAGGGGGGCUCGUGUCUGCUUUGGGGUGACGCUGUGACCCCCCGCCCCCAAAUAAUAGGCUAGCAUCAGGCUCUGGAGGAUGAACAGCAAGAAACUCUAAGACAGUUCAUGGAAGGGACACAUUUACCAUUUGUGUACGUGCACAAACACUGCCUGACCCUCAGAGUACCUCUUGGAGCCCACGUUUCAGUUUUAUGAUUAAAAACAGGCAGGGAGCUUUAAAUGUGCAAAUGUCCAACAGCUGUCUCGAGCUGUGUUCAGAAAUCUCCUUUUCCCCCAAAUCCAUGAGGUGGUUUGCCCAACAUUGGGUGGUGGGUGUCGUACAAUAAGGAAAAGCACAAAUCUCAGACACUCGAGUUGUUACUCAGGAGAACCGGAUCAUUGUCUUACAGACAAGGCACCCACACAAGUCUGAAUUUCCAAUGACAUGUUAACUUGCAUUUCAUGCUAACAAUUAAGUCCUCCCAUAGGGACACCAGUGAGGUCAAUCAAUCUUUAAAACUCAACACUGAUUUUGGGGCACCUGGGUGGUUCAGUCGGUUAAGUGUUGACUUCGACUCAGGUCAUAAUCUCAUGGUUUGUGAGUUCGAGCCCCGCUUCGGGCUCUGCGCUGACAGCUCAGAGCCUGCUUGGGAUUCUCUCUCUCUCCUUCUCUCUCUCUCUGCCCCUCCCCUGCUUGUUCUCUUUCUCUAAAUAAAUAAAUAAACUUAAAAAAAAUCAACACUGAUUUUAAGUUUAGUAAGAAAGAUGCAGUGAGAAAUCAUAUGUCAGAUCUCUCAAGUCGAAUGUGUCUAUUUAAUGUCCUAGCUCAGAAAAAGAGAUCGGGUUUUUAGUUGACCUUUAAAAAAAUGAUCUGAGGGAUUCAUGUUCAUCCCUCCCCCUUUCUGAUACAGUUGUGGGAAACUUGGACUCUUUCAACACGUCAGAUCCAACUGCAGAAUCUCCGAGUGAAUCUACGUGUUUGUGAUGACUCAUGCUGCAGGGGUAUGGCUUUGUCACAAAAUGGCUUUUCUCUCUUCGAGAAAAAUGUGUAUCCUCUGAGCGUGGUAGGAACGCGCCAUGUUGAAUUAGAAAUGAGCAGUGCGGUACCGGCUGGAGGAAUAGCUCUGCUUGGCAAUCUUGAAAUAAAUGCAGCUGGGAUAAUUUUCGAUUCAACCCUUGGCAAACCUUCAGUGUGUACAAGAAAAAAAAAGCUGUGGAGGAGGCUUAAAUGCUGUAGGCGCUCAGCAGCCAUCACUCUAUCUCUCGAAGUUUCCAGUAAACGGUAGGUCAGCUCUGCAUCCUGCUGAGGUCUGGUGAGCACUCUGGGAAGAAAUGAUUCUUAUUAAGUGAGUUCAUACGUCUAAUUGCUGAGCACAGGGCCUGGCACAUUGAAGUGCUUAAUGAAUAUUAGCUUUUAUUUUUAAAAAGUAUUAUUAUUUAGGAUUAUUAACUUCCUAGGGCUCAAUGUGUACCCUGAAGGGUCACGAUUAUGGACCCAAUUUCCUCCUCUACCCGUGUGGUCUCUCAGUUCUAGACUGACAUACCCAGGUUUUAUACCCCAUGCCUUCAAAGGAGACCAUGUACUGCUGGGAAAGUGGCUUUCAGUUCCAUAGCAGCUCUGAAACUGAUUUCUGUAUUACAAGGUUUCAGGUGAUCACGGUUCACUGGUAGAAUCAGGGAAGUUCAGCAGCCGACAGAAUCUCCCCCUUCUGGGCCGAUUCCUUUCUGAGUUCCCAGGAGAGCUAGGUUUUGGAAUUUUCCCUAAAUGUCUAUCCUCCUAGGGCUGAAUCGAACCUUUGGCGUUUCCUGUUCUACACUGGGAACCGGGAGCUUUCUGAAUUAUCUCAUAGGACAUUUCCUGAUCUGUGAAUCUUUUAGAGCCUGAAGAUCAUGUUUUUCCCCUCAUCAUCUCCUGACUCUCAGUCUCCAAGGAACAUGUGCGUAUUUCAUUACAACUCCACCGUUUCCCGCGUUCGGUGAUAAAUAUGUGAGCUACAAGAGUGUACAUUCAUAACACAACACCAAAGGUUGGCAGUACAGAUUUAUGGCUCAUUACAUCAUUUUAGUGUGGGGCUGAUUCACCCAAUCAGUUUAUUUAGCAAUAAGAGAAUAUUAAAGAAGGCAACUGUACCAACCUACACCAGCCCCUGUCUCGGCUGGGUCCAUUACUUCUGCCCUCUCCUAUCAGUGGCUUGAUAAGGUCGAUCUGCGCUCGCAGAGAUAGGCCUUGUCAGGGAGGCAGAGCGGGAGCUUCCCAACAGGCCCUGACUGUACUCAGGGACUUCAAGAGGCAGAGGACGCUGUGAAUCUAAAAACAUAGCAUUCCUCUCAUAAGGAUUACAUUUUCACUUUUGAGGUUUUGAGUGUUCCUCUCUCUUUUUUAUUUUUAAUUUUUUUAAAUGUUUAUUUAUUUUUGAGAGAGAGGGAGAAAGAGUGUGAGUGGGAGAAGGGCAGAGAGAGAGAGGGAGACACAGCAUCCGAAGCAAGCUCCAGGCCCUGAGCUGUCAGCACAGAGCCUGAUUCGGGCCUCGAACCCAUGAACCGUUGAGAUCGUGACCUGAGCCUAAGUCAGACGUUAAACCAGCUGAGCCGCCAGGUGCCCCUCGAGUGUUCUUCUCUUGCUAUUGUUUACUCCAUCCUUUGUUGUUCAGAUAAGCUCAUUCUGCCUGCUACCUCCAGAAUGAGGCUCUCUUUCCUGGGACAUCCUGGUCAGCCAGUCAUUUUAUCCCACCCUGCCGGUGUCACUGGUCACAAGGCUCUUGACGUUCAAUUAGGAAUAAAUAAGUUACCACCAGAAUCAAAGUCAAGUUGAGUUUAUCAAACGUCGGGUGUUUUCGCAGGGGAGGGGAAGGAUGGUGGAAUUAGGUGGUGGGGAUGAAAAGGACACUUACCGUGAUGAGCAGUAGGUAAUGUACAGGAUUGUUGAAUCGCUAUACUGUACCCCCCAAACUGGUAUCACACUGUAUGUUAUCUGUGCUGGAAUUAAAAUUAAAAAGCUUAAUUUAAAAAAGGGAUGUUUCCAACAUUUUAUUUUUAAAAGCUUCAGCUAUACAGACAUGUUGAAAGAACUGUGCAGCGAGCACCCCUCUACCUGUCGCCCAGAGUCCACAGUUAGUAUUUUUAUUUAUUAUAUAACCAUCUAUCCACCCAUCAAUCCAUCUUAUCAUGUUAGCUUUUUGUUUUGAAGUAAUUUUAGAUUUACAGAAGAGUUGCAAGAAUAGUGCAUAGGGUUCCCAAAUACCUUUCAUCAGCUUCCCCUGAUGUUAGCAUCUUACAGAACCAUAACACAAUGAUCAAGUCAACAUUAGAAUGAUCUGACACAACACUGCCAGUAAUAUAACCUUAUUUUUAAGAACCUUUCUAACAGUGAGUUUCUAUUUUUUAUUAAAAAGAUUUUUUUUUCCAGCUGGACUUUAAAUAAAAACUUGGGAAACGAUACUGCCACACUAUUAAUGAAUCUACACAUCUUACUUGAAUUUCAUCAAAUUUCCCACUAAGGUUCUUUUCCUGGUGGAGGAUGCAAUCCAGGCUCCUGCCCUGCAUGUAGUUGUAGUAUGUUCUUUGUCUCCGGCCUAUGACAGCUCCUCUGUUUCACAUACUCGUGACCCUUUUGAUGUAUACUAGCCAUUUAUUUUUUGAAUGUCCUUCAAUUUGGGUUUGUCUGAAGUUUUCUCAUGAUUACACCAAGACUGCAUUUUUUUUACAAGAAUACCACAGAAAUGAGAUUAUGCCUUUCUCUGUUCAUCACAUGGUGGGGGGUGGGCAUCAUAUCACCCCGUAAAAUUGCUACUGAUGUAUCUUUUAUCAAUUGGUUAAGGAGUUGUCUGCCGGGCUUUUCCACUGUAAAUUUAUUAUUUUUCAGUUUGUAAAAAAUAAGUGUUUUGGAGGAGAUCCUUUGAGACCAUGCAAAUAUCUGGCUUCUCCUUAAAUCUCGCCUACUAAUUUUAGCAGGCAUUGGGGGGUUUUGCCUGGAGCAGUUGUUUCUGUGGCUCUCUAAUGGUGCUUUCCCAUGACCCCCAUUCUUUCUACAUUGAUUAGCUAGGGUUCUACCUUAAGGAAGAGGUGUCCCCUCUUCCCCAUUUAUUUAUCUGUUCAAUUAUUUAUUUAUGUCAAGACGGAGUCAGGGAUCUUUCUUUCCUUCUUUGGGUUCCAAUCCAGUAUUAUCAUAAUUUAUUUUGUUGCUCUGUCUGUUGGAUCAUUGGAAACUCCCUUCAGAUCAGCUCGUGCAUCCUUUUGACCUGCCCUGGCAUUUCCUGAGCACUUCUUUACUUUCUGGCAACACAAGAUGUUGCAGACUUAUUUUGUAUUUUCCCUAUUUUCUCUAAGGAGCUCUGGGUUCUUUUUAUGAGAGAUUGGUGUUUAGAAACCAAGAUCUGGGCAUUAAGUGUGCUUACUGCUGUGGGAGUACCAUUGUCUUCCCAGUGGAUGGAGCUAGAAAGUGUAUGUGUGUUAUUGAUAUGUAACAUCUAUAUUUCUGUAUUUAUCCAUCUGUGUGUGUGAGUAGAUAUGUGCGCAUAUAUAUUUACAUAUACAUAUUCCUCUAAAUAUUAAAUCAUGAGCUCAUGCAGAUGCCCUUGAGUCCAACUGAACACCAUGGUUUUAUUCAGGACUUCCCCUUUUCUUUUUUUUUUUUUUUUUUUUUUUUUUUUUUUUUUUUUAAUUUUUUUUUUUCCACAUUUAUUUAUUUUUGGGACAGAGAGAGACAGAGCAUGAACGGGGGAGGGGCAGAGAGAGAGGGAGACACAGAAUCGGAAACAGGCUCCAGGCUCCGAGCCAUCAGCCCGGAGCCUGACGCGGGGCUCGAACUCACGGACCGCGAGAUCGUGACCUGGCUGAAGUCGGACGCUUAACCGACUGCGCCACCCAGGCGCCCCAUGGACUUCCCCUUUUCUUAAUUGCCAGCUUCUAGCUCUGCAGGGGAAAACCUGGCUGUCUUAUCCAUAGUAUAUUUACUUAUUUGUCCAAUCCUUGUACACACAUAAAGUAGUUUCAGAGUUGCUAAUCCAUACCUCCUUGGAGGGACGAAUUUACUAAUUAGAGUCCAAUAUUAGUACAUGAUUCUUUUUGUCCUUAGCAUUAUAGUUUGUGGCCAAAAGUUGCUUAGAUUAGUUCCUUUCUUCCCCACCCUCUUCAGGGUGGUUGAGUUAUUGGUUUGUAAUAAUACAGUUAGGUUCAUUUGUUACUGCUUGUAUUCUAUUUUGGAUUCCCUCCAUAUCUUGAUUGAUUUAAAAAAUUUAUACUUUCUUGGUAUAUAUGUGGGCAAUAUGUGAAACACUGCUGUGAUUAUUUUUUUAAUAUUUUAUUAAAAUUUUAAAUGUUUAUUUAAUAUUUGAGAGUGAGCGACAGAGAGAGAGAGAUUGGCGGAGGGGCAGAGAGAGGGAGACACAGCAUCCGAAGCAGGCUCCAGGCUCUGAGCUGUCAGCACAGAGCCCGACAUGGGGCUCAAACCCACGAAUUGUGAGAUCAUGACCUGAGCCGAAGUUGGAUGCUUAACCCACUGAGCCACCUAGGUGCCCCAACACUGCCAUGAUUCUAAAGUAGGAGUAAUAAAGAAAUGUUCACCCAGAGAAGUGCUGCCCUUUCCCUAUUCUUUCCACCACAUUCUCACUCUUUGCAGGUGACUAAUCUCAUUUGUUUCUGGCUUAUCCUUCUUAUAUUUCUUUUGCACAUGUUAGCAGCUUCAUGAACACCUCUAUGUUUCCCUUUCUUUCUUCCAUGAAUCCACCUUAUUUUUGAUGCGUUUCACAGAAAGUUGCAGUUCUCAGUACAUUUUUACCCUAAACACUUUGGCAUGCCCGUUAUUAACUAGGUUUCAAUUUUGGUCUAUUUUUUUUUCACUUUUAUUUCUUUCAAGGUAAAAUUCACACGCAAUAAAACUCAAGAAUCUUAAGUGUACUGUCGAAUACGUUUUGACAAAUGCAUAUACUUGUGUAAUGCAAACCCCUAACAAAACGUAGAGCAUUCCCAUAACCUCGUAAGUUUCCUGCUCCAGCUCUGAGACAACUGGUAUUCUAAGUUUUUUCUACCAUCGUUUGGUUUGGCCUGUUCUAGGCUUCCUAAAAGCGAAUUAUACAAUGUGUACUCUUCUGCAUGAAGCUUCUUCCACUCUAGCCUGUCUUUGAAAUACAUCCAUGUUGUGUGUAUCUCUAGCUCAUUCCUUUUAUUGUGUUAGCGUUCUGCGGUGUAAACAUACCAGUGUAUGCAGGAUGAACAGUGUAGAUUUUCUGUUGAUGUGGAGUUAGCUUAUUUUCAUCUGAUGCUUCAGAUUCUUCUGGUGUUACAGUGCCGUGCUACACAUCUUUUAAAUUAUUUUAAGUAAUUCCGCUUUAUAUGUUUUGCCUUGUGCACACAUACAUGGUGCUUUCCUUUCAGAAAGCUCAGUGUUAAAACACGAUUAGAUUCUCUCUGUAGAGACAGAUAAAUGUACUUUAAGACAUUUAAUACUGAAAAAUUCAUACAACAAAAACCUAAGUCAGUGACUAUUCUAUUUGAGAGAGAGGCGUGGGGGAGGAGGGGCAGAAAGAGAGAGGGAGAGAGAGAAUCCCAAGCAGUCUCCACGCUCAACAAGGAGCCCAGUGCGCGGCUCAGUCCCAGACCCUGAGGUCAUGACCUGCGCUGAAAUAGAGUCGGAGACGCUGAACCUACUGAGCCACCCAGGUGCCCCUCAGUAACUAUUUCUUGAACAUUGAUUAUACGCAAUUACUGCGUUAGAUCUUUGGGAAUACAGGCACGAGGAAGACAGAGGGCUGUUUAUGGAUGUUUUAGGGCAUUCAAGGUACAUUCGGACGCCACCAGAGACAGGAUUUCCCGAGAAGAACCCCAAUCAUCAUCUCAGUUGUGUGCUCCAAGUCGUGUGAGCAAUGCGGUGCUCCUCCAAACAAGUAGUCCUUGUUGAGAAGCUGCGUCCUGGCUUUUGCAGCUGUCGCGUGGGCUCAGGGUGGUGGAGAGGGAUCGGCCGGAGAGGGGAAGACAGGGGAACACAACGGAGGCUAACACGAGCCCGGAGCUGUGCCGCCAAAGGGGGAUGGCAUCAGGAAGGAAGCAUUUCCGGAGCAUGUGGGGCCGGCAUUUCCGGUGCAUGCAGUACGGCCAUUUCCGGAGUAUUAGGUGCCGGCAUUUCCGGCUCACGCGGUGCCGGCUCUCACCUGUGGCGGCCGCCGCUGGCACCAAGGUGGGAGCCGGGCCCAGUGCUGACCGAGCCACCAGCCACCGCUCAGGCCUCCGAUGGCACGGCGGGGAGGAGGCAUCUGCAAAAGGCCACAGGCCCCGUCACCCCUUAGCGUGCACGAAAUGAGGCAAAAGGGUGGCUCAAUAAUUUGGCCCAGGACACACCAUGGAAGGCGCUCAGUGAAUGCUAAUUUAAUUGUCUAGGUGGGUCCAUUUAAAAUGUCUCUCUCGCUCUCUUUUUGAAAUCUUAGCAACCUGGAAGAAACUUUUUGGUAUAAAUUCAGUAACUUCUAGACUUGGAAAUGAUAAAUGCUUUUUUAUGUUUUAUUUUUUAAUAAAAACAUGAACUGGAAUGGAAUGACUUCCUUCCAAAACACUUUAAAGAAACAAAUUGUCAUGUGGAAUCUCAUUUUGCAUGAAUCAGAGUACAGUAAAUCUCAAAAUAUCCACUGAACUGCCUGUUGUGGUUUACUAAACAGGAAAAUGAUUUCAGCAGGAUGGUCUUUUCCCCUAGAUCCACAGCAGGCAGCCUUUUGUGCUGUUCUGAAAACAUCUUAAUUCUUCCCCAAGUACCAUGUUUCUUGGAAUUAUUCACCGGAAAUUAAUAGUAUUCUGAGUUUUAAAGUAAUUCAAACCACAAGUGACUUUGUAAUCAUGCUUAGCAGUAGUAUAAAGAGCCAUCGAGCAAGCAGAGGUUAUGACAGUAUUAGUCACAAUUGCACAUAGUAUCCCCCACACAAAGAUGUAUGUUUCUGUCCCGACCGUGUUCACUGGGCUGCCGAACUGGGUAGUGACAACAAACAAAUGAGUAAAAUGUGUUGGAUAAUGUCAAAUGCUACAGGGAAAAAAUUGGGCAAAGGCGGCUCUUAAACAUGCUGGGAUAGAGACAGAGAGCUGUUGAAAUUACAGAUAAGGUGGCCGGGGAAAGGCGUCACUGGGGAAACGAUAUUUGCAUAAAGACCUCAACAGUAUGUGAGUCACAUGGACAUCUGAGGAAGAACAUUCCAGGCACAGGAAGAGCAUGUGCAAAGGCCCUGAGGCAGGAGUGUGCCUGAGGAACACAAGAGCAUAGGUGGAAUGUAGUGAAUGAGGGCGAGGGCCACAUUCAUGGCCACAUCAUGAUAGGCCUCACAGUAAGGACUUUGGUUUUUACUCUGAAGGAUGGCAGAAGUGCUAGAAGGUUUUAGGGGAGAAGUGACCUGACCUGAAUUGCAUCUUAGCACCCAAAGCAGAAAGAACGGUUGAGGGGCUCUGCUGAACCCGAGACUGCAGCACAGAAGCUCUUGUGAAAAAGGGAAAGACCAUUUCCAAUGUUUACAGACAGGCCAGGUCUCUCCAGACAAGGAAGAAGAAGAACACAGAACACUUGUUCAGAUAACUGAGCAGUUGGGGAUUCAAUGUGUGAUGUUAUUUUUAGAAGAUAGCAUUUUUUUAAUACCCUGCUACUGGUUUCUUGUAUCUUUUAGAGCACACCACGAGGAGAAGAUAAGGAAGCAUGACCUUCCAAGUGCAACACCGAAUUAGGAGGCCUUGUUUCCAGUUUGGGUCCCGAUUUUGACCUUGUCACAUCCUAGGGCUGGUUACAUAAGUCUUUCCGAGCUUUAGUUUCCCCAGUGGAGAGCAUAAUUGUUAAUUACUUUAUGGAAUUAUUUUGUCAAUUACUAACAUGUUAAUAAUCUCUGAGUCUUUGAAAUGGACAUGACACAGAACCGCAGUGGUGGCCAAUUAGUGUCACUGUUAUCGGAAAUACGUGGCGUUUUAGCACUUCAAAAAGGUUCAUGUACAGGAAAAGCUGUGGGCGAUGGGGAGUGACUAGGGUGAAACUGGAAAAAGAUGAGAGGUGAGGAGAAGGACAUUUAAUUUCAGGACCUUUUGAUGUAUUCGGGCAUGCUGCUGGAAAGGGGUGGACACUUGGCAGGAUGCAGGACAGAGACAGUGCAUGGUAAGGUGAUCACCUCCUAGACCCGGGAUCUGGCCCUCACUCCAUGUAUCACCCCUCCACCUUAUUCAUACUCAGUUGUUGUCCUAUUUGGGUAAUUUGUAUUUUGGAGCAGUGUAUUCAAAAGGCUGGCAGGGUUGACCUCUAACAGACGGGCUAUGGAUACUUGUGGGUAUAUUGAGAUAUGUGAUGUUUCUUUUGCUUAUUACACACAAAUGUAUCCAACAAAACUGUGAAAUAUCAAAUAAUGUGGCAGCACUUUUGAUGAAGAACAAGGUAGAUCAUGAUGGAUCUUCCCUAAAGACACAGGAUGAUCAGUAUGACGUUGCCUGAAGUAGUGAACUAAAUAGAGGCCCUUUAUCAAUUAGGGUCAAGAAGUCUGUUGCUCUGGUCGGGCCCUUUAAAUACUUUCUUUAUUCAUUCAACAGAUAUUUUUUGACAACAUACUGCAUUGGGUGCUGCAGGGCAUAAAAGAAUGAGUAAGACACAGUGCCUAUUGCCAAUAAGCUUAUUUAAUCUAACAGGGAAAUAACUCUGAAGUCAGGCAGUUUGUGAUAUGUGUCACGAGCAGUCAUGAGGGUGCAACAAAGGUGGCAGUGAGGAGAAUCCUUCCGGCUCGGAGAUCGGGAAUGCUUUGUGGAGGACGUGAUGACUGGGGGUCGGAGGUGGGAAGGAGGGCAGUGGUGCUUUCAAGUAGAGGAAAUGAAGAAGUCAAGUGGUGGCUGGGUGAGGCCUCCCAGAGGGCGUGCGCCUGCCAGGAGCACCUCACGGGCAUAGAGGACACUAGAGGAGGACGGUAUCAUGGGCCUGAAACCCACUGGGUGUGUUACAGAAGGGGGCCUCGGUUAGACAGGAACAAGGGAGCCCUGGGAGAAAAACCUGGUGAAGCAGAUUUGGGUCAGAGUUUAUAUUUGAAAGUCAAGCUGAGAAGCUUGCAGACAGUGGAGGGGUGAUCUCUGAGCUCAGCUGUGACAUUUGCAAGGGGCAUGUUAGGGACACGAAUCUGGCAGUGACGUAUAGGAGGAGCUGAAGGGUGAAGGAAAGCAGCAACGAGGAGGCUAUCAAAACAGUGCAAGUUAGAGGAGAGGGGAGAGAAUCGAUGAGAUAUAAAAUAAUCAGAGAGAUGGGCAAGGAUGAGAUCCGAAGGGAAAAAGGCUAACACGACUUGGGGACCAUGAACCGUGACAAGGAACCCAAGCAUCGGGGAUCAUUGAAGGGAAGGAAGAGGCAAAGGUUUCUCUAAAGGGUUGAAUGUGCACGAAGCUGGAAGGAAAGUUCGGAGACGCAGUGUCAGUCUGGUGAACGAAUAUCAGCUCAAACCAGCAGAGUCAUGGAGACCAGCCUGCCGUCAGACAGGCACCUUGACCUCUUGAGGUGUCUGAUUAAUGCACACGUGGUGUUUCUCAACGCCUCAUCUGCUCAGUGCCAUCUAAUCUCCUAGAACGUGAUCAGAUGUCGGGCUCCUGCUGUUUGAAUUUCUCUCCACUGGUUGUCUGUGUCAGCAUGGUAGCGGACGUUUGUG
Molecule: long non-coding RNA, 42954 nt
Filed under: Lynx pardinus (Iberian lynx)
Lineage: Eukaryota; Metazoa; Chordata; Mammalia; Carnivora; Felidae
Source: RNAcentral